This 118-nucleotide ribosomal RNA is filed under the name Betta splendens (Siamese fighting fish). Lineage: Eukaryota; Metazoa; Chordata; Actinopteri; Anabantiformes; Osphronemidae. The record is from RNAcentral.
CCUUACGGCCAUACCACCCUGAGCACGCCCGAUCUCGUCUGAUCUCGGAAGCUAAGCAGGUCGGGCCUGGUUAGUACUUGGAUGGGAGACGCCUAGGGAAUACCAGGUGCUGUAAGCU